CCUACGGGAGGCAGCAGUGGGGGAUAUUGCACAAUGGGGGAAAGACUGAUGCAGCGAAGCCGCGGGAGGGAAGAAGGAUUUCGGUAUGUAAAGCUCUAUCAGCAGGGAAGAAAAUGACAGUACGUGCCCAAGAAGCCCCGGAUAACUACGUGCCAGAAGCCGCGGUAAUACGUAGGGGGCAGGCGUUAUCCGGAUUUACUGGGUGUAAAGGGAGCGUAGACGGUUAUGUAAGUCUGGAGUGAAAGCCCGGGGCCCAACCCCCGGACUGCUUUGGAAACUGGGUAACUGGAGUACAGGAGGGGCAGGCGGAAUUCCUGGUGUAGCGGUGAAAUGCGUAGAUAUCAGGAGGAACACCGGCGGCGAAGGCAGCAUGCUGGACUCAAACUGACGCUGAGGCUCGAAAGCGUGGGUAGCAAACAGGAUUAGAUACCCCUGUAGUC
This 440-nucleotide ribosomal RNA is filed under the name uncultured bacterium. RNAcentral describes it as "partial 16S ribosomal RNA". It matches the Rfam family "Bacterial small subunit ribosomal RNA", at positions 338 to 795 of the family's 1533-position model. The record is from RNAcentral.